AGUUAUGUAAUUCUUGUUAAUUAAUUUAGGUUAGAAAUUUAUAUAAAUGAAAAAUAAUUUUUAAUAAAAGAAAAGUAAUUUUUAAUGAAAAAAAAAAUAACUAUAGGAAAUAGUCCUGUAAAGGAAAGAAAAAUAAAAAUUUAAAAAAAAAGAAAAAAUAGAAUUUUGUACCUUGUGUAUAAGGGAAAAUUUAUAUAAUUAAAAUAAUAUUAAAGUCUCGAAAGAGAAAUAGCUAAUUUUAUAAAAGAGUUUUUGUAGGAAUGAGAUUUUAAAUAUAGAAUUAAAGAUGAAAUGUUAAACGAGUUUUAUUAUAUCUAGUUUUUUAAAAGAAAAAUUUAAUUUAGUUUAUAUAUUUAUAAAAGUAUAAAAGUAAAAAAUAGAAAGGUAAGCUUUUUAUUAAGAGAAGGAAAUAGAAAAAUAAUAAAUAACAAAAUGAUCUAGGCUUAAAAGUAGCUAAGUUUUUAAAGUGUUUUAACUAAGUUAAUAAAUAAAAGUUUAUUCUUUUCUUAAAUAUUAAAAAUUUAUUAAAAAUAUAAAAUAAUAAGAUAAAAUGAUUUUAUUAGUAGAAAAAAAAUUUAUUGUAAUAAAUGAAGUGAAAGAUAAAAGUUAAAAGAGUUCAAAAAAUUAAGAUGUUUCAAAGGAAUUCAGUAAUUUUUUUUCUUGCCUGUUUAUCAAAAACAUGUCUAUUUGAAGUUAUAAGAAGUCUAGCCUGCCCACUGAUUAAAAGUAAAAUUUAAGGGCCGCGGUAUUAUGACCGUGCAAAGGUAGCAUAAUCAUUAGGUUUUUAAAUGAGAUCUUGUAUGAAUGGUUGGACAAAGGAAAAACUGUCUUUGAAACAAUAUAUUAAAUUUUACUUUUAAGUGAAAAGGCUUAAAUAUUUUAGGGGGACGAUAAGACCCUAUAAAGCUUUACAUUAAAAUUAUAUAAAAUUAAAUUUUUAAUAUGAAAAUUUUGUAUUGUUAUUUGUUUUGUUGGGGAGACAAGGGUAAAAAUUAUAUUAACUGCUCUAAAAAAAAUCAUUUGUUAAUGCACAAAAAAUUAAAGAUCCUAUAAAUAUAUAGAUUAAAAGAUUAAGUUACUUUAGGGAUAACAGUGCAAUUUUUUUUAAGAGUCCAUAUCGAAAAAAAAGUUUACAACCUCGAUGUUGAAUUAAAAUAUCUUUAUAAUGUAGUUGUUAUAAAAGAAGGUCUGUUCGACCUUUAAUUUUUU
Molecule: ribosomal RNA, 1209 nt
Filed under: Mahatha iora
Lineage: Eukaryota; Metazoa; Arthropoda; Malacostraca; Decapoda; Gecarcinucidae
Description: partial 16S ribosomal RNA
Source: RNAcentral